RNAcentral lists this non-coding RNA (72 nucleotides) under unclassified sequences. The record is from RNAcentral.
CAUGGGGAUAGGUUGACGAACCGAAACAGCGCAAGUCCGGCGCAGUUCCCCAUGUUUUCUUAUUUUACGGAC